UUUGCAUUGAAAUUCUUGUUCAGUAUAAAUAGGAUGACUAAAGACAGAAUAGUAUGGGGAGUACAUAGUUAAUGUUUGGCUGUUACUGCCUGAGCAGAGAUGAGAUGAUGACUAAGGAAUGGAAAAAAUWAAUUAAUCAAACGCAAACUAAGUAUAUUUUCAAUGUUUUGGCAAUUUAAUGUUCACAAUUUUGGGCUUUUGAAUUUCUAUUUAAAAAGCAAAAACAUUAUUUGAAUGUCAUUUCUUAUUGCAUUUAAUGAAAAUCUGGGAUUUUGCAAAUCUUAAACACUCAAUUAUUAUCCAAAAUAACUUUAGAGAUACMAAAUGUUUUUUUCCCACAGAUUUUUAUUGAACACUGACCAGAGUUCUUAUUAGCUCAGGAUUCCCCUCUGURGGAAUCUGUGUUUUAAAAUGGGGUGAUAUGAAAGUAGUUUGAGAUUUCAAAGGCAUAUUGCACGUAAUGAUUAUUAACAGUUAGACAGAGCGUCCAAGGUGUUGUACACAUUUUCUGCUGUUGUCAAUGGUUUGAAUGAGAACCCAAUGGCUGUAUGGCCCCUUGGGUUCUUGAGAGCUAGUUAAUAGUCUGAGUGGCKUGUGAAUAUUUUUUGCCCACCAGACACUGACACUGGUUCACCGAAAUMUUAAUGUCAUGCCCUGGUUACAAUGRUCAGCUAUUGCAUGGUCAGCUGUUAUAUCAAUAGCUCGUUUACAAAAUGUAACAUGGCUKCCCUACAGCAGAGGUUCCACCAGCAUAAAUUUGAGUCAGUCAACAUGACUGACGGRAUUGAAGAAAAUCUGCCCUUGUCCAUUUAUAGGUCGCUUAGGGCACAUUUUUGACACAACUUAUUAGUCAAUACAUAAAAAUACUGCUUUACUUGAUUUUUUCCCCCUGUUCUGUAGUGUUGGCUGAGGGAAAGUGUAUGUAGAUAGCACCAGCAUCUUGAAAAUAAGCCUGGGGAGUAACAUUAUUUCAUGUUCAAUAAUUUUUGCUGUGGCUGUAAAAAUUGUGCAGUGAAUAUGGUUUUUCUCAUAUUUUUACAGUUUUCUUGGAUAUACUUCGUUGUCGUGUGGGGGAGUCUUUAUCCAUAGAAAUACCUGAUGAUGACCAGUGUCCGUUGUCAAACUUCAGUCUAUGUACAGAGAAAAUUGGCCAAGUGUUCGAGUAUAGCAAGAAGCUGUCAGUUGACUGUGGAUCCACGUUAUCAGGACAGGAUCCAGUUGAAGAAUGACGCCAACGGCCUUGCUGUUGUAAUUUGGAAUGUAACCAAAGAUGAUGAAAAGGAACACUUAUGUGGACUGUGCUUCUACAUUUCUAAAGAGAUUUGUAAUUCAAAUUCCAAGAAGUAUUGAGAGUUCAACCACCACAGCAUUCCCCCAACCAUCUACAACCACACCAGGAGGUCUACCUGUGGAACAUCUUGCUUGGCUGGUACUGGUACCAGUAUGCCUAGGCGGUGUAGUACUACACAUCAGGAAUCGUUAACAAAAGUUGAAGGAAGAACCUCUCUGCCGAGCUGUAGAUCCCAUCGUCCACCUAUGUUCUAAAUCAAAACACAUCAAUGGACACAGCAGAACAAUGAAAUGAUGUCUCUGUUACUAAGGUUGGCUAGACACUAUGAUUUUGCCCUGUCUGCGGGCUUGCCAUGAGCAUUUCUAAUCAAUCAAACUCAGGGGCAUGUUUUUUGCUGUCUGCUCCGGUGGAAUCUUUUUGAAAGUGCUUUCUAAAUGCAAUGUCCCAUUCACUUCUAUUGAGCGUUAGCUAGUGGUGGCUUAAGUUAUGUGAAGUUUUGAAGUGGCUGUUUAAAGGGAACUGAACCAUGCAUUACUGUUUCUCCUGGCCCAAAGACUACUGGCAGAGUGAGGAGCCUAACAAUAAGUUGUGUAAAAUCCUAAACAAUCCCUUUAAACCCUCAGCCUUACUGUACAACUACUGUACUUGUGAUUUUCUUCAACCUUUCUAACGGUUGAUCAUUGUCAGCAUUACAUUGUGUUCCCUAUUCGGGGAGACGUUUAUACAGAUGUGCACAAUUUACUGUACUGUCAUUAUACUGUAUCACAUGUCUGAUACCAGAACCAUUAUGUUCUAUUGUAUGAUUACACCUCUUAUGAUAAUGGGAUUGACAAGACUUGUUCAAAUACAUAUUUAUGAUCAAAGAUUUUCUUUAAGGUCAACAUAGUUGGAUUUAUUUAUAUUUUUUUACUGAAGGUAAUUAGAAAGUAACAAAUUGUGCACACUGCUGUUUUUAAAUGCACUUUUGUGACAACCUGAUGCAUGUACAGUUAUCUAAUUAAUAUUUUUGCUAAUGUAGAUGUGACGUGGCCCCUCGCGAUAUUGAGACUGGUCGACACACAAACAUUCCCUUCAGAUAAACCUGACUGUUCUUUUUGUAAAGAUGGUUCCCUUGAAAAAUGUGUGAUCUUUUUUGCCAACUGUCCAGCCAUMAUGAAAUGCUACUUUUGAUCAGGUAACAAUGUGAAUGUCUUUCCAAAUCUUGCCGUCUCAUCCUCUAUCACAGACCUCUUAGAAGUUCCUGAAUGUCCUCUUAUUUACUGUACUUUAUGUAUAGAUGGCAAUCAUGUUUACAUUUACAUUACAUUUAAGUCAUUUAGCAGACGCCCUUAUCCAGAGCGACUUACAAA
This is a non-coding RNA of Salvelinus sp. IW2-2015, 2640 nucleotides long. NCBI's taxonomy places the organism in Eukaryota, Metazoa, Chordata, Actinopteri, Salmoniformes, Salmonidae. The record is from RefSeq and is a predicted model, not a curated record.